RNAcentral lists this transfer RNA (63 nucleotides) under Bugula neritina. Its description in RNAcentral is "tRNA-Met". The record is from RNAcentral. Lineage: Eukaryota; Metazoa; Bryozoa; Gymnolaemata; Cheilostomatida; Bugulidae.
AAUUGAGUAAGCUAAAUCUAAGCUGUAAGGCUCAUAACCUUAAAAUGGAACUCCCCUCAAUUA